AACUUCUGAUUUAGGCACUACAAAUUAUGCUUUUUGAUAUGAAAAAGAUGAGAAUUUGAAUGGGAUGAGCAAAACAACAAGCUAAGUAAGUACGCUAAUAAACUACACCCUAUGUAUGCACAUACGACAUACAAUCAGACAUACAUGUAAAACAUUUCUUACAUUUUUAGAAAAGGAUGAAUUUCAAACAAAAGGGUUUUAAAUCUUAAUCUAAAAUCCUAGAGAUUGUGUUUUUCUAUAGUUUCUUUGGUGCUCUUGUUGUUUUCUAUUUUCCUACUAUUCUUUCUAAUUUUGAUUGUCGAUCCUAAUCGCACGUGCAGUGUCUAAUAGAACAAGUACCAUUACGGAUCUGGAUCCCCACUACCACAUAGGCCAGGACAAUACGAUCAUGCACGGAUUGAUCACAGCAUUACUUAGCCAGGUGAUCCAAACAAAGACAUACAUCCCAACUAUGUUUGGAAGGGCUUUCAUCCACUUAUUGGUAAGGUUCACUCACUGCUAAAUUUCAGCAAUACUGUUCUAACGAAUGUUUACAAUUUUGUUUUGAGAUGUCCUCUGUACUUUUGCUUUGUUUCUAUCAUUAUUUUCUUUCUUUGAGUUUUAUUUACAUACUUUACAUUCUCUAU
Molecule: long non-coding RNA, 626 nt
Filed under: Carica papaya (papaya)
Lineage: Eukaryota; Viridiplantae; Streptophyta; Magnoliopsida; Brassicales; Caricaceae
Description: long non-coding RNA (CPAP_LNC014187)
Source: RNAcentral